This 468-nucleotide long non-coding RNA is filed under the name Monodelphis domestica (gray short-tailed opossum). Its description in RNAcentral is "lncRNA (ENSMODG00000035625.2)". The record is from RNAcentral. Lineage: Eukaryota; Metazoa; Chordata; Mammalia; Didelphimorphia; Didelphidae.
CUCUCUAAAUCAGCUUUCAAUUCUGCCCAAGCCUGAUGGAAAAAGAAAGGGGGAAGGGGACUUGAAAAAAAAAAGUUUUCAAAAGCAGGGAUUGUGUGUUGCUGUUAGAACAAAUUGUUAAAUUAAAUUAGCGUUACAUUUCAUUCCUAGCCCCUAGGAGAUUCGGGGACUUAGAGAAGGUGCUCUCUUGAAUUUGGUCGUUAAGUGUAAACUUAAGGUUUCUGUUUUCCAGCCCAAAGAAAGGAUGCCUGGACUGGUGAUGUCAUAAUGGCGUCCUUUUCAAAGAAUAUUAAGUUAAAGGAAAACACCGUUGGAUAAACUGACUUCAAUGGGACUUUGAGAUAGGGAAAUAAAAGGGGUUACAUGGUAUAGUAGAAAAUGGGAUUGAUUCAAAGUCAAGAGUAUUUGGGUUCCUUUCCUGCUACAUUACCUAUUCCCCUUGGGUCUAUCGGACAAAUCAUUUCUCAU